This 9749-nucleotide long non-coding RNA is filed under the name Panax ginseng (ginseng). RNAcentral describes it as "long non-coding RNA (PGIN_LNC012877)". The record is from RNAcentral. Lineage: Eukaryota; Viridiplantae; Streptophyta; Magnoliopsida; Apiales; Araliaceae.
AACGAAGCUGUGAAUCCCCCCACCCUGCCUGAAGACAGGAAGACUCGCGCCAAGGGCUUCCAUUUUUGAUAUUUCAAUGUUUAUUGUAUCGCUCGGAGGUAAAUCCCUCGAAUUAAAUCCUUCUCAAAUUCCCCCCUUAAAUGCUUGCAUCAAGUAUAACCCUUGCGAAUGUCUACUUUUGAUUCUCACGUUCUUGAAUUACAGACCUAAUUACUGGAUUUGAUUCUCACGAUCUUGAACUUUCGAAUAUUUAUCCAGAGUUGGUUUGUUAGAACACAUUGUAAAUUGAAUAAUUAUACGUGUUUCCAUGUCAUUUGUGCUAAAGUGAAAUAAUGUUAGUAAUAUAGGUAAUUUUUUUUGUGAAUUACGCAUUGCAUUAUCACAGUAAAAUGGUGUGGUUUGAUUAUAUUUUGAAAUUCUGAAUGGAAUGUCUUGCUAAUGAGAAAUUGUUUGCGGAAAAAGUUUACUUUAUCAGUGUUAUUUUUUAGUGCAAUAGCUUACAAUUUCCUACUUACGUUUCUGAAGAAUAAUUUGAUUUUUUUUGAAGUUUUAGGCAAUUUAUAUUCUAAGUGCUCAUAUUUCAGCGUGUUUUGUAGGGAAUUACAUUUGUGAGCUAUUUGAAGCAUUUAGUUCAGUCUUAAGGUGAUUUUGGAGGUGUUGACCGGUAGAUAAUGUAUCAUCAAAGCUCCUCACUCCUAGGGCUAUAAGUGUAUAACACUUGGAUUGAUAGGAUCAUAGGAGCUAGUGCUUGUGACUGAAUGUGUUCUACCUUGUAGUGAGCCCCAGAGCUAUAUACAGAUCUAGAAUAAUCCACUGCUAGCAUACCAUCAAAAGAUGCAAGAAAAGCUUAUAUAUGAUGAUGUGAUCUUAAUUUGAGUUGCUUUAUAUGAUGUGAUGUAUACUAAUUAAGCUGGUAAAAUAUAUUGGGCAUUUACUGAAGCUGUCAGAGCACAGUGGUGAAGUGUUGGGAUGGCAUCCAAAGGUAGGGCUGACCGGAUGAGGAUCGGGAUCAAUUUCAUGGCUGACAAUUUGUGAAGAAAAGGAAACUCUUUUUGACGUCUUGUUCACCUCCUUGUCUAUCCCAGGAAAGCGUAUUGGCCAACUUGUUGCCUUCUGAUGGAGCAAACCAUUAUGGAUUAAAUGACAUACUCUUUUCUGAACCAAGCCAGUGAGGUUACCCAAAAAGCUUGGAACAAUAAUGCUUGAGAAUUUGGAUAUUAAUCAAGGGGUCUUUCACAUGUUUUUUCUUGUUAUGGCAAUUUUUUUUAUUAUUAUAAACUAAUUCAAGCACCUACUAUGCUUUUAACUUGAUUUCCUGUUUAUCUCUUUUGCACAUACAACAACCAGUUUAUAGUCUCCCAGAUAUACUUCACCUGAAAGAAUUAGUGUGUUCCGUGUUAAGAAUAAUAUAGGAGUAUCAUAUUGUCUUAGCAUUUCCUUUUUGAUAAUAUUGGAUUUGCAUUACAAUAUUUGGAUCUGUUUUGCAAAUAAUUUCUCUAUUAUCAGGAUUGUGGGGGGUUUUUUACAUAAAACCCAUGAAACAUGGAUCUCUUUGGUGCACUCUGAUGGUCAGUUUGCAUCCUCUGUGUUGUUGCUUUGUGAUCCACUUAUUAUUUGUAUAUUAAGUCUACUUGUCAAAAAACAAAAUGUGAAUGAAGUUGAAGAAGUUAGGGCUAGUAGGUGGAAGGAAUUUCUUUCAAAGAACUAAAACUACAAACAUCUCAAGCUUAAAUAUCUAACAGCAUAAGCUAAGAUUGGAAUGAUAUACUCCAAAGAUGUUAUUGCACUACUUUAUCCUGGAUCUCGUACAGCUCAAACUGAAGUAAAAUCCUAACCGGCUUAAAAUACCCAGAAAAACCCAUAGUAGACAAAGAAAAACUAAACAAAUGCCCUUCUCAACGAAGCAAGCCUGUGGAACUUGUGAUGGACUGGUUUGAGGAUUCUGUCCUGAGAUAAGCUGUGUUGCAAAGGACGUCUUCCAGGUCUCUCAAUGUAUGGUAAGGACUAUUGAGCUGCAUAUCAGUGAGCAUUUGACGAAGUUCUGAUGUCUCUUCUUUAAGUUGGGCAUUCUCUUGAAGGGCCUGAUCAUGACGCUCAGAAACAUCGUUUAGUUUGUCUAUGAGUUGGUGAUUCUCACUUCUGAGCCAAACUACCUGCGACCAAAGCUCAUCCAAGUGCUUUUGCUUACGCAUACGUGAUCGGCGCGCAGACUCUCUGUUAGAUAUCAUUCUCCUCUGCUUCCUCUCAUUGAUCAGGCUUAGUUGUUGCUCAUCUGCUUCAUCAGAAGUUGAAUUACUGCUGAAACAUGUUUGUUGUGGGUUGAAUUCUUGAACUUGAGGAUUUAUCUGAAGAUGAUAUAAUGGGUUAGAGAGUCUGCUAAACUCAAAUGUGGGUGUAUUGUUCUGGGUGAAGCCAAAAUGAGCAGGGUAUGAAGUUGGAUUAGGGGGAACUAGAUAAUGAAGUUCAGUGACCUCACUGGACUGCAUGGUAUUGACCUUCCUUAGUGAAUUUGCAGGGACUAGGUUUUUAAGGGAAGGUAGGGUAUAAGAUGUUAGAAUUGGAAGGCGGAUGGAAACUUGAGGUGAGGAGGUAUUUUAUAGGAUGGAAAAAGUCUAGUGGUCCCACUUUUGUCUAUUCAGAUUAACAGUAGGGGGUUCCUUAAAGAUGAGACCAUUGCAAUAUGAUGUCAGUGUGCAUGUACUUAUGUAGCAUCAGAUAUAUGUACACAUGUAAACAUUCAACACAUAAGUCUAUACAGAGAUGUCCUAAAUGCCCUCUAUGGUCAUGUAAUGGUUACAUGCCACAUACUGGCAAUGAAACAUUAUUAACAGCAUUUGGGCAUACAUGGAAAAAUUAAGUUGGGUUUUCCAUGCAAAUUUUUGUGUCUCAUUACUUUAUAUCUCACACAAUAGUAUGUUUGUGUUUAUCUUAGUGCGUUUGCGUGACCUUCAUUUCUCAACAGUUUACUAUUUAAUCUUGAGACCAAUUAAUGGCUGCCAUAGAGAGAUAUGAAAGACAGGGAAUUCAUAUUUGGAAUAUAGUUAUUUAAGUGAGAUUAGUUUGGAGAAGAAAAAAAAUGGAGAUGAGGUUGAAAAAGUCAAAUUUUAAAGUAAUGUUUGCGGAGUCGAACCAAUCUAAGAUUGUUUUACUGGUAGAUGUUCUUUCCAACAGCGCGUGGUGACAUAAAGGAAUAGGAGGAAGGAGGUUGGAGAAGGCAAGCCUUUUCUAUAAGUGGAAAAGAUUAUACAAGAAAUUGAUGACUCCACAACCACUUUGAUAAGACCCCAUCCAAAUAAGCAAUAGUAUACUUGAUCUCUCUUUAAAAUAUUUUGAUUAGUAGGAAUCACAUCCUUAUGACACAAUUACACACCAAUCAGUGCCACAUCAUGGUAGGGAAGAGUUUCUUGUCAUUGCUGCAUUAAAAUAUGCAUAACAUGAGCAUGGCUGCAUUUCCACACCCUUUUAGAAAAAUGACUGGCACCUUCCACUGUGAUUGGUAAGUGGUAAAGUUGGAGUAAAGUUUAGUAGUCGAUGUGAUGUGAUAUUUUAGCAAGAUACAUCGUCAAUUUAUUAGGAUGUGCUUGAAUUCAGCGAAAGAAACUUCUUUCUUCUGGUCUUAUGUGGUGAAAUCUGAAACUGCAUCCGUUCAUUAGAUCCUAAACUAUGCCACAUAUGAAAAGAACAUACUUGUUUAGUAAUUCUCAGAAGAAUGCACCCAUAGUAAUACAAUUAACAAAGAACAUACUUGUUUAGUAAUUCUUGAAGAAUCAUUUAUUAUUCCAUGCCUUAAUAAUUUGUCAUUUUGAGAUUCAUAUAGUGCUCAUUAGGUGACGUAUAUGUUUGUAAAGCUUUAUGGAUAGCUUGAUCAGAGAACAAGUUUUUUAGUUUAUAUAAUAAGAUGGAUUAGGUACUAACAAUAUUUUCAGAAAUUGAAAAAGUAAAUAAAAAGACUUGUUAAUAUGAUGGUGGGGACGAGGAAGGGGGAGAUAUGGAUGUACUUUGAAAUGCAGUCUCCCACUAAUGAAAAGAACUUUGUAAUGCCGCUAGAACCAGGACUCUAUGGAGGCAAAUUUUCUCUCCCUUCUUCAUGUUGGGUCAAGUUGAGUGGACUGGACGGUCAACAAUAUCAUUAGACAGAUAUUGACUCCUCUUUCUUUUCCUGUCUCCAAAUUUUUUAUCCUGUGUUCUCAUUAUUUGUUUUUUCUUUAAUUUUAAUUUUUCAUAUUAGUUUUACUUCUUGUAAUAAAGUUUUUUGCAAAUAAGGUAUGAGUAUAGAGGUGGCUAAUGUAGUUGAAUAUUUUGGUUGUUUUGUCCUUUUGUUAUUGUUGAAUAUUGGAUCCUAUUUUUGGUCUUUAGUCUUUGGUCAUUAAUCAUUGGUCAAUGGUCAAUGGUCUUCACUCCUUUAAUGGGUCAAGGGAACAUAUUAAUGGGUCAAGGGAACAUAUCACCAUUAUCUCAUUAAUGUUACUCCUUUGGUGAAAAUGAGUCCAACUCAUUUCCUUUUCUACCCUCUAGUUCUUGGCUAUAAAAGGAGGCCAAAUGGAAGAGGAAAGACACACCAAAAUUGAUAGAGUAUAUCUUAGAGAGAAGAAGAGCAAAGCUCUAGUUUGAGUGUCAAAGAGAGUUAGAGAGUGAGAAGCUCAGUUAGAGCAUUCAGAGAGUGAGGGUGUAGAGAGAAAUAAACAGUUAGUUUAUUUCUCAGUUGAGAGUUUGUAAUCUCCAUAUUAUUUUCAUAGUGAUUUUCUGAGAUCUCUUCCCGUGGUUUUUCCCAGUUGGGUUUCCACGUAAAAUUCUUGUGUUAUUAUUUUAUAUCUCAUACAGUAGUGUGUUUGUAUUUAUCUUAGUGUAUUUGUGUGAGCUUGAUUUCUCAACAAUUGGUAUCAAAGCUCUCGGUUCACACCAACGAUCAGUUUAAAGAGAAAUUAGGCAGGUCACAAAUACGAAGAUGGCAAGCACAAGUGCGAGGUAUGAAGUUGAACCAUUUGACGGUAAGUCAAAUUUCAGUAUUUGGCAGUGUACAGUCAAAGAUGUAUUGGCUCAACAAGGAUUGACAAAGGCACUAGAAGGGAAGAAACCAGCGACUAUGACGGAUGAAAAAUGGGUGGAACUUGAAGCUAAGGCCGUGGCAACAAUCAGAUUGAGUUUGGCGCCACAGAUCAAAUAUCAGGUUUUGACAGAAACCUCUUCGAAGGACUUGUGGGAGAAACUUGAGAAAGUUUACAAGUCAAAGUCUCUGUCAAAUCGGUUAUAUUUGAAGAAGGAAUUGUACCGGCUUCGGAUGGAAGAAGGGUCAGAUUUGGCCAAUCAUAUUAAUGAGUUUAAUAGAUUGGUGACCCAACUAACCAGUAUUGAUGUGAAGUUGGACGAAGAAGAUAAAGCCUUAUUGCUUCUUGUCUCUCUACCAGAUUCAUACUCAACUCUCCAGACUACACUCCUUGUAGGGAAGGAAAAGCUUGCAGUUGACGAUGUGAUGUCAGCAGUACUGGACCAGGAUAAGUUCAAGGGCACUACUUCCAGAGAUCAAGGAGACAGUCUUCUUACUUUUUCAAAUGGGCGUGGCAGGGGUCCUAAUCAAAAGAAGUAUUCCGGCAAGGAACGAGAAAGGUCUCAGUCGAGACCAGGCAAGAAGGAUAAAUCUCAGGUUGAAUGUUAUCAUUGCCACGAGAAGGGCCACUACAAAAAUCAGUGUCCAUUGUUGAAGAAGGAUAACAAGAAGAAAGGAAAGCAGAUUGAAAAAUCUGCUAAUGUUGCUGAGCAAGCAGAUGUGUGCAGCGACGGAGAGCUGUACACAGUGACAGAAAAUGAAGCUUCACAAGGUGAUCUCUUAUCUGUUAGAGACAGUGGCAGCCUUACAGAUUGGUACAUGGAUUCCGGUUGUUCUUUUCAUAUGUCCCCUCAUAGGGAUUGGUUUGAUACUUUUACAUCCUGCAAUGGUGGUACAGUUUUAUUGGGUAACAAUGCAGUCUGCAAAGUUACUGGGAUAGGCACCAUAAAAAUUAAAAUGUUUGACGGAGUUGUUAGAACAUUGGGUGAUGUAAGGUAUAUUCCAGAAUUGAAGAAGAGCUUGCUAUCGGUUGGAGUACUUGACUCUAUAGGUUGCAGUAUCUCAGUCAGAGAUGGUGUCAUGAAAAUUACCAAGGGCUCGAUGGUAAUUAUGAAGGGCCAGAAGAAGGGCACCCUCUACAAGUUGAUAGGGGACACAGUUGCUGGUGGAGCAGCAAAUUCUGUGCAGGAUAAUUCCAACAGUGAUAGCACAGAAUUAUGGCACAUGCGACUUGGUCAUUUGAGUGAAGGUGGAAUGAAAGAACUUCACAAAAGGCAGUUGCUGAAAGGUGUCAAAACGUGCAGUUUGGAAUUUUGCAAGUUUUGCGUGUACGGCAAACAACGGAGGGUCAGCUUCAAGGCAGGAGCACAUACCAGUAAGAAUGUACUUGAUUAUGUACAUUCAGAUGUGUGGGGCCCGAUCAAGCAUACGUCAAUGGGUGGAGCCCAUUAUUUUGUUAGCUUUAUAGAUGACUACUCCAGAAAGGUGUGGGUGUAUUUUAUGAAGCAGAAAUCCGAGGUUUUCAGAAUCUUCAAGCAGUGGAAAGCUAAAGUAGAGAACCAGACCGGAAAGAAGCUGAAGUAUUUCAGAUCAGAUAAUGGCACAGAAUACAAGGACAGGUCAUUCCUACAGUUCUGUCAGGAUGAAGGUAUCACCAGGCACUUCUCAGUCAAAAGAACUCCAGAGCAAAAUGGGGUUGCCGAGAGGAUGAACAGAACUCUAUUGGAACGUGCCAGAUGUAUGAGAUUGAAUGCAGGAUUGCCCAAGAGUUUCUGGGCUGAGGCAAUCAAUACAGCGUGUUAUCUGAUAAAUCGAUCUCCUUCAGCAGGAAUUGAUUACAAAAUCCCCGAAGAGGUAUGGAGUGGGAAACCAGUUGAUUUUUCUGUGAUGAAAAUCUUUGGUUGUCCAGCUUAUGCUCAUCUGCCAGUCGAAGAGCGACAGUCCAAGCUUGAUCCAAGGUCAAAAGAGUGUAUUUUCCUUGGAUAUGAAGAUGGUGUCAAGGGAUACAGGUUAUGGGAUCCAGUAUCCAAGAAGAAGGUUGUCAGCAGAGAUGUGGUGUUCAAUGAGAAACACAUGCUGAACAAGUCCGAGAAUGAAGAAUCUGCAGCAAGUGAGUUGCAAAAACACCCAGUUGAGGUGGAGCUUCCUGAAGAGAUUGAAGAUGAUCAACCUUCAGAUCCCCAAGAGAGGUCCUAUAAUCUUGUUAGAGAUCGGGAAAGGCGAGUCAGUAAACCAGUGCAGAGAUAUGGGUUUGAAGACAUGGUUGCCUUUGCCUUGAUUGCUGGUAGUGGAGAUCCAACUAGCUAUCAGGAUGCUAUUCAGUCCGAUGAUAAUGAUAAAUGGGCGAUAGCUAUGGCAGAAGAGAUGGAAUCUUUACAAAAGAACCAGACAUGGGAGUUAGUUCAACUUCCAAAAGGAUCGAAGGCUAUAGGAUGCAGGUGGGUGUUCAGGAAAAAGGAAGCUCAGUCUGAUAAAGAAGGUGAAAGAUUCAAGGCCAGAUUAGUGGCAAAGGGAUUCUCUCAGAGAGAGGGAAUCGACUACAAUGAGAUCUUCUCACCAGUUGUGAAACACACAUCGAUUCGGUUGAUCUUAUCUAUUGUAGCAUCACAGGAUAUGGAGUUAGAACAGCUUGAUGUGAAAACAGCUUUUCUCCACGGUGAUUUAGAAGAAAAGAUCUACAUGAAGCAGCCUGAGGGGUUUAUUGAACCAGGGAAAGAGGGUUUAGUUUGCAGUUUAAAGAAGUCCCUCUAUGGUUUGAAGCAGUCCCCAAGACAGUGGUAUAUGAAGUUUGAUAACUUCAUGAUGGCUCAUGGUUACUCUCGUUCGGAGUAUGAUCCAUGUGUGUAUUUCAGAUCCCUUGAUGAUGGCUCUCUAGUAUUGUUAACGUUAUAUGUCGAUGACAUGUUGAUAGCAGCAAAGAGGAAGUCAGAUAUUCUUCAGCUGAAGAAUUUGUUGAGCAGUGAAUUUGACAUGAAGGAUCUUGGGUCAGCUAAGAAGAUCCUAGGUAUGGAAAUUCACAGGGAUCGUCAAGCAGGAAAGUUGUGGCUAACUCAGAAAGGAUAUGUGCAGAAGGUCUUAGAGAGGUUUAACAUGAACAAUGCUAAACCAGUUAGCACUCCGUUGGCAGCACAUUUCAGGUUAUCUUCACAGUUGAGCCCACAAACAGAGGACGAGGUGGAGUAUAUGUCCAAAGUACCGUAUGCAAAUGCGGUGGGUUGUCUAAUGUACGCCAUGGUAUGUACAAGGCCAGAUAUCUCACAAGCAGUCAGCGUGGUUAGCAGGUAUAUGGCAAAUCCAGGAAAAGAGCAUUGGAAUGCAGUAAAAUGGAUUUUUCGUUAUCUAGCAGGUACAACCAAUUACGGUCUUAUGUUUGAUCGUGAUACCGCAAGAAGUGAGGUUACAGGGUUCGUUGAUUCGGAUUAUGCUGGAGACCUAGAUGCAAGGAGAUCUACGACAGGGUUUGUAUACACCUUUUGUGGAGGAUGUAUAUGUUGGAGGUCAGUGUUGCAGUCUACGGUAGCAUUAUCAACAACAGAGGCUGAGUAUAUGGCAUUGACAGAGGCAAGCAAGGAGGCUUUGUGGCUUAAGGGACUAGUUGAAGAACUAGGUUUCAAGCAAGGCAGUAUCCAGAUUCAGUGUGAUAGUCAAAGUGCUAUUCAUUUAGCAAAGAACCAAGUGUUCCAUGCCAGAACCAAACAUAUAGAUGUUCGGUAUCACAAGAUUCGUGAGUGGUUGAACAAUGGUGACAUUGCAGUUCACAAAGUUCACACAAAGGAGAAUGCCGCAGAUAUGCUCACAAAGUCAGUUACAGCAGAAAAGUUCAAGCACUGUUUGGACUUAAUUCACUUCGUCUAAUGUUGAGUUCGUAGUGGAGUAUCCAGGGAGAGGGAUACAUUCACAGACACAAAGAAGAUCACAGUAUUUGGAAAAUAUGAGCCAAGGUAGAGAUCGUUGAAUAUUGGAUCCUAUUUUUGGUCUUUGGUCUUUGGUCAUUAAUCAUUGGUCAAUGGUCAAUGGUCCUCACUCCUUUAAUGGGUCAAGGGAACAUAUUAAUGGGUCAAGGGAACAUAUCACCAUUAUCUCCUUAAUGUUACUCCUUUGGUGAAAAUGAGUCCAACUCAUUUCCUUUUCUACCCUCUAGUUCUUGGCUAUAAAAGGAGGCCAAAUGGAAGAGGAAAGACACACCAAAAUUGAUAGAGUAUAUCUUAGAGAGAAGAAGAGCAAAGCUCUAGUUUGAGUGUCAAAGAGAGUUAGAGAGUGAGAAGCUCAGUUAGAGCAUUCAGAGAGUGAGGGUGUAGAGAGAAAUAAACAGUUAGUUUAUUUCUCAGUUGAGAGUUUGUAAUCUCCAUAUUAUUUUCAUAGUGAUUUUCUGAGAUCUCUUCCCGUGGUUUUUUCCAGUUGGGUUUCCACGUAAAAUUCUUGUGUUAUUAUUUUUAUAUCUCAUACAGUAGUGUGUUUGUAUAAAUCUUAGUAUUGUGUGAACUUGAUUUCUCAACAAUUAUUAAAUUAACAUGACUAUUAGAUCAUUAUACAUAAGUUACGUUAUUCUUUCCUUUUUUUGGUUGAAAUCCCCUUGGCUAACUCAGUUCUUUAUUAUUCAGCUAAUAUGUCAAACAUCUGAACUCAUCAAACUUAAUGUUAAGCUUUCCACAUGCCACUGCGGCAUGGAUCAAUCUCAACUCAGAGCAACUUGUGGUUGAGUGAA